Molecule: ribosomal RNA, 484 nt
Filed under: uncultured bacterium
Lineage: Bacteria
Description: partial 16S ribosomal RNA
Rfam family: Bacterial small subunit ribosomal RNA
Source: RNAcentral
AUUGAACGCUGGCGGCAGGCCUAACACAUGCAAGUCGAGCGGACGAAGGGAGCUUGCUCCUGGAUUCAGCGGCGGACGGGUGAGUAAUGCCUAGGAAUCUGCCUGGUAGUGGGGGAUAACGUCCGGAAACGGGCGCUAAUACCGCAUACGUCCUGAGGGUGAAAGUGGGGGAUCUUCGGACCUCACGCUAUCAGAUGAGCCUAGGUCGGAUUAGCUAGUUGGUGGGGUAAAGGCCUACCAAGGCGACGAUCCGUAACUGGUCUGAGAGGAUGAUCAGUCACACUGGAACUGAGACACGGUCCAGACUCCUACGGGAGGCAGCAGUGGGGAAUAUUCGACAAUGGGCGAAAGCCUGAUCCAGCAAUGCCGCGUGUGUGAAGAAGGUCUUCGGAUUGUAAAGCACUUUAAGUUGGGAGGAAGGACAGUAAGUUAAUACCUUGCUGUUUUGACGUUACCAACAGAAUAAGCACCGGCUAACUUCGUG